AGAAUGAACGCUGGCGGCAUGCCUAACACAUGCAAGUCGAACGAAACCUUCGGGUUUAGUGGCGCACGGGUGCGUAACGCGUGGGAAUCUACCCCUUGGUUCGGAAUAACAGUUGGAAACGACUGCUAAUACCGGAUGAUGACGUAAGUCCAAAGAUUUAUCGCCGAGGGAUGAGCCCGCGUAGGAUUAGGUAGUUGGUGUGGUAAAGGCGCACCAAGCCGACGAUCCUUAGCUGGUCUGAGAGGAUGAUCAGCCACACUGGGACUGAGACACGGCCCAGACUCCUACGGGAGGCAGCAGUGGGGAAUAUUGGACAAUGGGCGAAAGCCUGAUCCAGCAAUGCCGCGUGAGUGAUGAAGGCCUUAGGGUUGUAAAGCUCUUUUACCCGGGAUGAUAAUGACAGUACCGGGAGAAUAAGCUCCGGCUAACUCCGCGCCAGCAGCCGC
RNAcentral lists this ribosomal RNA (446 nucleotides) under uncultured bacterium. RNAcentral's name for it is "SSU rRNA". It matches the Rfam family "Bacterial small subunit ribosomal RNA", at positions 26 to 518 of the family's 1533-position model. The record is from RNAcentral.